RNAcentral lists this ribosomal RNA (254 nucleotides) under uncultured bacterium. RNAcentral describes it as "partial 16S ribosomal RNA". It matches the Rfam family "Bacterial small subunit ribosomal RNA", at positions 524 to 776 of the family's 1533-position model. The record is from RNAcentral.
UACGGAGGAUGCAAGCGUUAUCCGGAAUGAUUGGGCGUAAAGCGUCCGCAGGUGGCAAUUCAAGUCUGCUGUUAAAGCGCAGGGCUUAACUCUGGAAAGGCAGUGGAAACUGAAUAGCUAGAGUGUGGUAGGGGCAGAGGGAAUUCCCAGUGAAGCGGUGAAAUGCGUAGAGAUUGGGAAGAAAAUCGGUGGCGAAGGCGCUCUGCUGGACCAUAACUGACCCUCACAGGACGAAAGCUAGGGGAGCGAAUGGG